Olea europaea var. sylvestris is the source of this 358-nucleotide long non-coding RNA. RefSeq lists it as uncharacterized. The record is from RefSeq and is a predicted model, not a curated record. Lineage: Eukaryota; Viridiplantae; Streptophyta; Magnoliopsida; Lamiales; Oleaceae. The transcript is spliced from 2 exons.
ACUAAAAAAAGCACUUAGAAAUUGUAUAACUUUUAAUAGAAAAUUGAACCAGACACAAUUCACAAUAGUUGACGAACCAAUUGAUGUUAACUUUCGUUAUUCCUCUUCGAAAGCUACUUUUCUCGAAUCUGAAAUUUAGCGCGCCAAAGUCGUUUCCGAUUGCUAAUUCUCAUUUGACUAUGGAGCUUGAAGUCUUUCAUAAGGAAAGUUGGCUGUAUCAGUGUUGCUACUACAUUUACUGGUAGCCUAUUCUAAAAUCGUCUCUGGUUGAAAAAGACUCUUCUGGCCCCAGAGAAUUACCCUUUUGGUCCCUUUCUAGUAAGUCAUGAUGAAAAUGACCGUAAGGGUAAGAAAAAGG